Molecule: unclassified non-coding RNA, 354 nt
Filed under: soil metagenome
Description: partial contains 5.8S ribosomal RNA, internal transcribed spacer 2, and large subunit ribosomal RNA
Rfam family: 5.8S ribosomal RNA (bases 1-119)
Source: RNAcentral
GAUGAAGAACGUAGCGAAAUGCGAUAAGUAAUGCGAAUUGCAGAAUCCGUGAGUCAUCGAAUCUUUGAACGCACAUUGCGCCCUUUGGUAUUCCGAAGGGCAUGCCUGUUCGAGCGUCAUUAUCACCACUCAAGCCCGGCUUGCUGUUGGUGGCAGCGCAGCCGGUCAACCGGCUACGCUCCACCCAAAGAUAAUGACGGCGUCUGCGAGGACUCCUGUACAUUGAGCUUUCGGGCACGUACAUGGCUAGAAGUCCAGGCGCCGGUCGACGUCCUCCGGGACACUUUUUACCAAGGUUGACCCCGGAUCAGGUAGGGAUACCCGCUGAACUUAAGCAUAUCAAUAAGCGGAGGA